Trichonephila clavipes is the source of this 73-nucleotide non-coding RNA. The record is from the annotation of a GenBank genome assembly. NCBI's taxonomy places the organism in Eukaryota, Metazoa, Arthropoda, Arachnida, Araneae, Nephilidae.
AUCCCUGUAGUGCAAUGGAUAGCACGUUGGACUUCUAAUACAAAGGUUGUAGGUUCGAAUUCUACCUGGGACG